This 254-nucleotide ribosomal RNA is filed under the name uncultured bacterium. Its description in RNAcentral is "partial small subunit ribosomal RNA". It matches the Rfam family "Bacterial small subunit ribosomal RNA", at positions 26 to 285 of the family's 1533-position model. The record is from RNAcentral.
AGGACGAACGCUGGCGGCGUGCUUAACACAUGCAAGUCGAGCGGAAAGGCCCUUCGGGGUACUCGAGCGGCGAACGGGUGAGUAACACGUGAGUAACCUGCCCCUAGCUCUGGGAUAGCUCCGGGAAACCGGGAUUAAUACCAGAUACGACCACUUUAGACAUCUGUCGUGGUGGAAAGGAUUCCGGCUAGGGAUGGGCUCGCGGCCUAUCAGCUUGUUGGUGGGUAACGGCCUACCGAAGGCGACGACGGGUA